Molecule: unclassified non-coding RNA, 324 nt
Filed under: soil metagenome
Description: partial contains 5.8S ribosomal RNA, internal transcribed spacer 2, and large subunit ribosomal RNA
Rfam family: 5.8S ribosomal RNA (bases 1-120)
Source: RNAcentral
GAUGAAGAACGCAGCGAAAUGCGAUAAGUAAUGCGAAUUGCAGAAUUCAGUGAGUCAUCGAAUCUUUGAACGCACAUUGCGCCCUGUGGUAUUCCGCAGGGCAUGCCUGUUCGAGCGUCAUUUCAACCCUCAAGCCUCGCUUGGUGUUGGGCCCUGCCCGCCGCGGCCGGCCCUAAAGAUAGUAGCGGCGCCGCCUGGCCCUCAGCGUAGUACAGCUCUCGCUCCAGGGUCCGGCGGCAGCCUGCCAGAACCCCCCAACUCUGUGGUUGACCUCGGAUCAGGUAGGGAUACCCGCUGAACUUAAGCAUAUCAAUAAGCGGAGGA